UAAAGAAUUUCGGUUAUCGAUGGGGAUGCGUUCCAUUAGUUAGUUGGCGGGGUAACGGCCCACCAAGACGACGAUGGAUAGGGGUUCUGAGAGGAAGGUCCCCCACAUUGGAACUGAGACACGGUCCAAACUCCUACGGGAGGCAGCAGUGAGGAAUAUUGGUCAAUGGACGAGAGUCUGAACCAGCCAAGUAGCGUGAAGGAUGACUGCCCUAUGGGUUGUAAACUUCUUUUAUAUGGGAAUAAAACAGGGUAUGCAUACCCUCUUGUAUGUACCAUAUGAAUAAGGAUCGGCUAACUCCGUGCCAGCAGCCGCGGUAAUACGGAGGAUCCGAGCGUUAUCCGGAUUUAUUGGGUUUAAAGGGAGCGUAGGUGGAUUGUUAAGUCAGUUGUGAAAGUUUGCGGCUCAACCGUAAAAUUGCAGUUGAAACUGGCAGUCUUGAGUACAGUAGAGGUGGGCGGAAUUCGUGGUGUAGCGGUGAAAUGCUUAGAUAUCACGAAGAACUCCGAUUGCGAAGGCAGCUCACUAGACUGCAACUGACACUGAUGCUCGAAAGUGUGGGUAUCAAACAGGAUUAGAUACCCUGGUAGUCCACACAGUAAAC
Molecule: ribosomal RNA, 604 nt
Filed under: uncultured bacterium
Lineage: Bacteria
Description: bacterial SSU rRNA
Rfam family: Bacterial small subunit ribosomal RNA
Source: RNAcentral